This 121-nucleotide ribosomal RNA is filed under the name Gymnadenia x densiflora. RNAcentral describes it as "partial 5.8S ribosomal RNA". It matches the Rfam family "5.8S ribosomal RNA", at positions 39 to 154 of the family's 154-position model. From Rfam's summary of the family: 5.8S ribosomal RNA (5.8S rRNA) is a component of the large subunit of the eukaryotic ribosome. It is transcribed by RNA polymerase I as part of the 45S precursor that also contains 18S and 28S rRNA. The record is from RNAcentral. Lineage: Eukaryota; Viridiplantae; Streptophyta; Magnoliopsida; Asparagales; Orchidaceae.
AAGAACGCAGCGAAUUGCGAUACGUGGUGCGAAUUGCAGAAUCCCGUGAACCAUCGAGUUUUUGAACGCAAGUUGCGCCUGAGGCCAGCUGGCCGAGGGCACGUCCGCCUGGGCGUCAAGC